AGAGUUUGAUCCUGGCUCAGAACGAACGCUGGCGGCAGGCCUAACACAUGCAAGUCGAGCGAGGGGUAACCCUAGCGGCGGACGGGUGAGUAACGCGUGGGAACGUGCCCUUUGCUACGGAAUAGCCCCUGGAAACGGGGAGUAAUACCGUAUGAGCCCUUAGGGGGAAAGAUUUAUCGGCAAAGGAUCGGCCCGCGUUGGAUUAGGUAGUUGGUGGGGUAAUGGCCUACCAAGCCGACGAUCCAUAGCUGGUUUGAGAGGAUGAUCAGCCACACUGGGACUGAGACACGGCCCAGACUCCUACGGGAGGCAGCAGUGGGGAAUCUUAGACAAUGGGCGCAAGCCUGAUCUAGCCAUGCCGCGUGAGCGAUGAAGGCCUUAGGGUUGUAAAGCUCUUUCAGGGGGGAAGAUAAUGACUGUACCCCCAGAAGAAGCCCCGGCUAACUCCGUGCCAGCAGCCGCGGUAAUACGGAGGGGGCUAGCGUUGUUCGGAAUUACUGGGCGUAAAGCGCACGUAGGCGGACUGGAAAGUCAGGGGUGAAAUCCCGGGG
RNAcentral lists this ribosomal RNA (551 nucleotides) under uncultured freshwater bacterium. RNAcentral's name for it is "bacterial SSU rRNA". It matches the Rfam family "Bacterial small subunit ribosomal RNA", at positions 8 to 607 of the family's 1533-position model. The record is from RNAcentral.